UUGCAGGGUAUAGACCCGAAACCCGGUGAUCUAGCCAUGGGCAGGUUGAAGGUUGGGUAACACUAACUGGAGGACCGAACCGACUAAUGUUGAAAAAUUAGCGGAUGACCUGUGGCUGGGGGUGAAAGGCCAAUCAAACCGGGAGAUAGCUGGUUCUCCCCGAAAGCUAUUUAGGUAGCGCCUCGUGAAUUCAUCUCCGGGGGUAGAGCACUGUUUCGGCUAGGGGGCCAUCCCGGCUUACCAACCCGAUGCAAACUGCGAAUACCGGAGAAUGUUAUCACGGGAGACACACGGCGGGUGCUAACGUCCGUCGUGAAGAGGGAAACAACCCAGACCGCCAGCUAAGGUCCCAAAGUCAUGGUUAAGUGGGAAACGAUGUGGGAAGGCCCAGACAGCCAGGAUGUUGGCUUAGAAGCAGCCAUCAUUUAAAGAAAGCGUAAUAGCUCACUGGUCGAGUCGGCCUGCGCGGAAGAUGUAACGGGGCUAAACCAUGCACCGAAGCUGCGGCAGCGACACUGUGUGUUGUUGGGUAGGGGAGCGUUCUGUAAGCCUGCGAAGGUGGCCUGUGAGGGUUGCUGGAGGUAUCAGAAGUGCGAAUGCUGACAUAAGUAACGAUAAAGCGGGUGAAAAGCCCGCUCGCCGGAAGACCAAGGGUUCCUGUCCAACGUUAAUCGGGGCAGGGUGAGUCGACCCCUAAGGCGAGGCCGAAAGGCGUAGUCGAUGGGAAACGGGUUAAUAUUCCCGUACUUGGUGUUACUGCGAAGGGGGGACGGAGAAGGCUAUGUUGGCCGGGCGACGGUU
RNAcentral lists this ribosomal RNA (801 nucleotides) under Salmonella enterica subsp. enterica serovar Enteritidis. Its description in RNAcentral is "partial 23S ribosomal RNA". It matches the Rfam family "Bacterial large subunit ribosomal RNA", at positions 700 to 1503 of the family's 2925-position model. Lineage: Bacteria; Pseudomonadati; Pseudomonadota; Gammaproteobacteria; Enterobacterales; Enterobacteriaceae. The record is from RNAcentral.